CCUACGGGAGGCUGCAGUGGGGGAUAUUGCACAAUGGGGGAAACCCUGAUGCAGCGACGCCGCGUGUGGGAAGACGGUCCUCUGGAUUGUAAACCACUGUCCCCAGGGACGAAGAUGACGGUACCUGGGGAUGAAGCUCCGGCUAACUACGUGCCAGCACCCGCGGUAAUACGUAGGGAGCGAGCGUUGUCCGGAAUUACUGGGGGUAAAGGGAGCGUAGGCGGGGAAGCAAGUUGGGUGUCAAAACUACCGGCUCAACUGGUAGUCGCACUCGAAACUGCAGCUCUUGAGUGAAGUAGAGGCAGGCGGAAGUCCUAGUGUAGCGGUGAAAUGCGUAGAUAUUAGGAGGAACACCAGUGGCGAAGGCGGCCUGCUGGGCUUUUACUGACGCUGAGGCUCGAAAGUGUGGGGAGCAAACAGGAUUAGAUACCCUAGUAGUC
RNAcentral lists this ribosomal RNA (440 nucleotides) under uncultured bacterium. RNAcentral describes it as "partial 16S ribosomal RNA". It matches the Rfam family "Bacterial small subunit ribosomal RNA", at positions 338 to 795 of the family's 1533-position model. The record is from RNAcentral.